UGGAAGAUGUGUCAAGCGACGUUUACGACUGGAGGAGGAACUUUUCACCUUAAUUGCCGGGCGAAAAGCAGGAAACGUUUUCGAAGUUGAAAAGGGUUCGUUGGUACAUCAAAAGCACUUGUUCAGCAAGAAAUUCAGCAACGAAAAAUUCGAAAUUUAUAUUCGGACGAUAUAAUUUGAAUUACAAGAAAUGUUUGCACCGAACAGGUCGAAUGGGUUUCAUUGUGGACCGUGUGCAGCUCGCUCGAGAGGUUGACGUUUGAAUUUACCGCCACGAACGCGUCCAGAAAUGUUCGUUUACACGCCGAGAAAACGGAAUCACAAAAAAUAUCGAAAAACCAGAG
This is a long non-coding RNA of Apis cerana (Asiatic honeybee), 344 nucleotides long. RefSeq lists it as uncharacterized. NCBI's taxonomy places the organism in Eukaryota, Metazoa, Arthropoda, Insecta, Hymenoptera, Apidae. The record is from RefSeq and is a predicted model, not a curated record.